Molecule: non-coding RNA, 23 nt
Filed under: Arabidopsis thaliana (thale cress)
Lineage: Eukaryota; Viridiplantae; Streptophyta; Magnoliopsida; Brassicales; Brassicaceae
Source: RNAcentral
UAUGCUGUAGUUUCGGGUACGGA